GAUGAACGCUAGCGGCAGGCUUAACACAUGCAAGUCGAGGGGUAUUGGUUUUCGGACCAAGAGACCGGCGCACGGGUGCGUAACGCGUAUGCAAUCUACCUUUUGCAGAGGGAUAGCCCAGAGAAAUUUGGAUUAAUACCUCAUAGUAUAGUACUUUGGCAUCAAGGAACUAUUAAAGUCACAACGGCAAAAGAUGAGCAUGCGUCCCAUUAGCUAGUUGGUAAGGUAACGGCUUACCAAGGCUACGAUGGGUAGGGGUCCUGAGAGGGAGAUCCCCCACACUGGUACUGAGACACGGACCAGACUCCUACGGGAGGCAGCAGUGAGGAAUAUUGGACAAUGGGCGCAAGCCUGAUCCAGCAUGCCGCGUGCAGGAUGACGGUCCUAUGGAUUGUAAACUGCUUUGUACGAGAAGAAACAACAUUACGUGUAAUGUCUUGACGGUAUCG
Molecule: ribosomal RNA, 449 nt
Filed under: uncultured bacterium
Lineage: Bacteria
Description: bacterial SSU rRNA
Rfam family: Bacterial small subunit ribosomal RNA
Source: RNAcentral